AUAUUAUAUCACCUUAACGGAAUUAAUGUAAGCCACAAAAUAAUCAAAUGGUUGAUUAUGCAUCCGUCGUCCUCAUCUACAAGCUUCACACUAAUUAAAUGGCCAGGUAUGGAUCCCUUCUAUACCACCUUGAAGUAUUUAUGUCAUACUUUAGCCAUCUUUUGAGAUCAAAUAUUAAAUAGUGAAUAAACCUCGUAUGAAAGAGCAGAAAACGAAGAGGGUAACACUAAAGGAGUUAAUCUGAAAAGUCAAGAAGAAAGCCAAGCAAGUCGCUUCAAGUAUGUAUCUUUUGCAUGUUUAUUAUUGUUUAUACGUUUGUAGAAGUAUAAAUAACUACUCACAUUGAUUCUUGAAUAGACGUACGUUUAUCAACGUUCGAGCCCAAUUAAAGUUGAGUUCGAGUGUAAUUAAAGUUGAGUCCUUAACAAAGCUUCGUUAAACUACAUUAUAUUUGAGAUUUUUUUAUAUAUACGUUGUAUAUGUGUGUUUAGUGUAUGCAUGGCUUUUUUAAUAUAACAUAUUUGAAAUAUUGUAAAGGAUAAAAGCCAUUAUAGUAAAGCUUUUUUUUUUUUUCUGAUUUAAAUUAUAUGAAUUUUAUUUGUUUUUUUCAAGAAAAGAAAAACAUUGUAAGGGUUUUCAAUAACGAAACUAACCAUCAAUAAAGUUCUUUUUUUUUAUAUAUAAAUAAAUCAACUUUUUAAUGGUUAAUCAUAAAAAAAUGCUUGUUAAUUCAAAUAAUUUCAAACUAUAAUGAUUAUAUAAAAUUAAAAGUUUUGUGUAAUGUCCAAUUGUCCGUCGUAAAGAGAAAACCCUCAAUGGUUAUAUCAGAAAAAAGAUUUCCAAUAGUUAAACUGAAAAAUAAUUUACCCUUUGCAAAACUGACCAAACCAUACGAAACAAAACAAUAAUUUACUCUUUGCAGAAGAUAUACUAAAAACUUGAUAAAGUAUAAGGUAAUAAAAAUAAGAGCAUAAUAAACAAUUAAAACAUCAAAAUAUACAUGCUAAUCCGGGCCGUUUAAUCAUAUUGGUGAUCNUAAAAGUUCAAUUGAGAAAAUAAUAAAUGUUAAAAAUGGGGGAAUCAUUUUCGGUCAAUUAUUUAUUUUUGUCGUAAAAUGCUCCGGCAUACUGGGCUGAAGAAUGAUGGGUAAUAUUCAUAUAUGAAUAUAAAUACAUGUGCAUUCAUAUAUGACUACACCACCUCCUUCCGCCCCCACCCACCGCCGCCACCGUCACCUCUGUCGCCACCUACCAUCGCCAUAUUCAUAUAUGAAUAAUCAGUUUCGCUCUACUUAUUCAUAUAUGAAAAUAACCUGUUCCGUCGGCCCGAUUCGCUGGACCGUUUAAGCGACAAAUUCGAAGUGAGUGACCCAGAAUUAUUUCUUCAUCUCAACUUUUUUUCUGAAUUGAANNNNNNNNNNNNNNNNNNNNNNNNNNNNNNNNNNNNNNNNNNNNNNNNNNNNNNNNNNNNNNNNNNNNNNNNNNNNNNNNNNNNNNNNNNNNNNNNNNNNNNNNNNNNNNNNNNNNNNNNNNNNNNNNNNNNNNNNNNNNNNNNNNNNNNNNNNNNNNNNNNNNNNNNNNNNNNNNNNNNNNNNNNNNUAUAUAUAUAUAUGGCUACAUUAUUGUAUUGUACUAUUUUUUAGGUGGAUAUAGGAUUGAUUGUGGACAAAUCAUUUUAAUUAUUUUAAGAAAGUGAUUAAUAAAUAUUAUUCAACUAGAAAUAAUUGAAAAAUACCAUCUAAUUUCAUUGUAAGCGUAUUUUAGUCAAUUAACAUAAAUUUAGAAAAGGAAAAUUCCAUAUUUAAAGGGAUAAUUAAUUCUCUUGAUUUAAAAAAAUUUGAUUCUUUUUUAAAUUAAUUCACUUUCAAAAUUUGUAAGCAUAAUCGAUUUUGCUCUGCCAAAAUGUUAUUUUUUUAAAAAUGAUAUUCUGAUAAAACUUUCUGUUAGAAUGUUAUUGAAGAAUAACAAAAUUCUUACAUAUUAUUAUAGAAUAACAAUCUUAUACAUUUUAAUAUAAUUGUACACACUAUAACAGAAGGUUAUCCAAUAUGAAUAAAAUUCUUAAAUAAUAGCAUUCGUAAAUAUACAAUACUUGAACAAAUACAGUUGAUCUUCUUGAAUGGUCAAAAUAAUCGAAUUGACUCCAACAAUUACAUUUAUUCUUAAAGAAUAAAAUUGAGAAUCGUUAAAUAUAAAUAAAAACAUUGAAAUCUAAGUCAAACAUUAAUACAUUCUAAUAGACUGUUGUUGCUAAUCAAUUCUGAUAGAAUGACAAAUUCAUUCUGUAAGAAUACAAUGUCAUUAUCAUGCUGGUUUCACAUCAAUCCCUACUACAUACAUGGCAACAUCCACCUCUCAUCAGCGUAUAUCUAUUAAAAUGAGAAAUAUUAAACUAGUAUAAGUGUCAACAUAAUUAUAUUCCCUUUUAGCAAUGCAACUUCAUACCUUUUUUCUAGUGAUAACAAGUUGAUUAAUUACAGCUGGUCUAUAUACAUCUGCAGAGCAUUAACAUGCAACUCUUUCCAUGGAUGACCUGUAAAAAGAAUAAAAGACAUUCUGUAAAGAACAUCAAUAAUAAAAGAAAUAAGAAGCAUUCUAUUAGAAAACAUCCAUGAUAUAAAAUCCAAAUGUAGCAUCUUUGAUAAGAAAAAAAUCAAAAAUACAUUAGUACUUUCCAUUUGUAAUUGCUAAAAAAAUUAGAUUUGACACAUAAUAUGGUUAUGGUACAUACUUCACACUUCACAUCAUAAUUAUAAGAAAAUCAUACAUCAAUAAUAAAAGAAAUAAGAAGCAUUCUAUUAGAAAACAUCCAUGAUAUAAAAUCCAAAUGUAGCAUCUUUGAUAAGAAAAAAAUCAAAAAUACAUUAGUACUUUCCAUUUGUAAUUGCUAAAAAAAUUAGAUUUGACACAUAAUAUGGUUAUGGUACAUACUUCACACUUCACAUCAUAAUUAUAAGAAAAUCAUGACCAUAAGGUAAAUUUGAAGAUAUAUAUUUAAUAAGAAAAUAUUAUAUAUAUAUAUAUAUANGUCGUGUAUUGGCCACAACGUGGUGACCCCAAGGUGUAAAACCCUAAAUUUUCGGGCUUAAGGCACUAUUUAAAGGAUGUGAUUGCUAGGGGUUCUUCCACCCUCAGCCUUCAUCACUCCUUUUGAGCACAAGACCCAACUCUAACCUCUUUUCAAGCUUUUGAACUCAUUUAGGUGAUUUUGGUGUUCAUUAAAGGAAGAAGAAGAAGUCUCUGGUGCAAGGAUCUAGCAAGCAACUCCUCUCCACAUUUGUGAUCAUUUUCUAGACCUUUAUAAGCCCUCAAGACUUAAUAUAUAUUGUUCAUUUCUUAUAGAUCUAAUAUUUUUGGCAUAUUUUGGUCCAUGUUUGAAGUUUGGAUGAUUGGGUGGGAUAAAGUUAGCAACUUUAUGGUUCAUCAAGGUCCCUUGUGCGUUAUGUCUUCUGGAUCCAAGAGUUGGUGUUUAGAAUGCCAUGUAUGAGAUGUAGGUCAUUUUCUCCCCUUUUGACAUAGUUUGAGUGGAGGAAAUGAAUGGGUUGUGCAUGUCCAUAAAUGUUGGAUUUUUAUGAACCAUUAGGGUACUAAAUAUGGCAGGGUCGGCCUUACUUUGGUUUUAAUUAAGCUAGGGCUUAGGGCCCCAACUUUUAGAGGGCCUCACUUGAACCAAGAUAGUUCAGCAAAAUUGAAAUCUUGAUUCCUUCUACUUUUGCAGUUAACCUAGGCAUGCCACAAAAAUCAUCAACCAAAAUUAAUUGACAGCGACUAUUCUUCUUCCUUCUCUUCUCAUUCUCAUUCUCGAUUCUUGUAAUCCAGUCUGAAAAAAAAAUACCUUUUGUUCUUCAAUCUUCACUUCUUCUUCUUCUUCUUCUUCUUCUUCUUCUUCUUCUUCUUCUUCUUCUCUUCCUUCUCUGAAUGAUUAUACACUCUCUGAAAAAUAAAUACCUACGGCUUCUCAGCGUGAUUCUUUUUAUGUCUUUCGAUUCUCCAUUGUUGAUCAUUUGAUUGUUCAAAAGACUCAAAACUUCAAGGCUAUCAUUUAAGAAGACAAGAUCAAAAGAACUGAAACGGUAUGUCCAGUGUUUCUAAUUUUCAGUUUUGAGUAAUUUAGUUUUCCAUUGAUUAACCCUAAAAUCGGCUAUUAACCAUUAUUCACUGAUUAUAGAAGGCUUUGAAUGAGUCUGAAAAUCAGCUAUUAACCAUUAUUCAUUGAUAACUUGGAACAAAUCAAGACUAAUCAUUACAGGUAGUCCUUAAAGCAUAAUCAGAAGUUGAAGUGUGGUGCUGUCACAAAGUAUUUUCAAUGGUUUAUUCAUUAUUUGCCUAUGUUUGCUUAAAUUUUGUUUCUAAUCUAAUGCAAACUUAGAAUUUCAAUGCUAAAGGGCCCUAAAUUUUUCGUUUACUUAGAGCCCUCAAACUGGUUGAGCCGUCCCUAUAUAUAUAUAUAUANNNNNNNNUAUAUAUAUAUAUAUAUCUUAUUUGGGGUUUAAGGUUACCAUGGAGUAAUUGAGUCGUUAAUAAGUAAAACAAUCAAACAAUAAAAAACUUAUUGUUAGCAUAAAUUAAUUCAUGAAAAGGUAAUACAAAAAGAGCAUGGUCCAUUAAAAACUUACGAUGCCUUCUGCUUUAUAAUUUUUUUUAGAUGUCUGUGACGAUUUCAUUUGAUUAUUGAUUGCUAUAAUGCAUAAAAAUAUGAUUUGAUGAAAUCAUCUACGUGAUCAGAAAUAGACACAAUUAAUCAAACGAUCUUCAGUGAUGAUUAUGUAAAUAGAGAAUUAUCAGUUCAAUAAUGACCUAAAUCGAGGAAGGAGGCAACGGCAAGUGUUGCAAUUUGUAAUAGGGUAAAUGACACAAAAAACACUCUUUUUACACAGAAAUUCGAUUUUGACACCGUGUUUUUUUUUUGUGUCAAUCUUGACACUGUUUUUCAAUUUGUUACAAUUCUGACCACUUGACCGGUUAACCAGGUUACAUGCUGACGUGGCAUGAUGACAUGUCAGUUUUUGAUGACGUGGCAUGCUGAUAUGAUAUACUGACGUGUCAAAAUCGAUUGGAACAAAAAAAACAUAGUGUCAAAAUUGAAAUAAAAAAUUAAACUUAGUGUCAAAAUCGAAAAAAAGUGAAAAUUUAGUGUUUUAUGUGGAAAAAAAUCAAUUUUGACACGUUAGCAUAUCAUGUCAGCAUGCCACGUCGUCAAAACUGACACGUCAUCAUGCCACGUCAGCAUGUAACCUGGUUAACUGGUCAAGUGGUCAAAAUUGUAACAAAUUAAAAAACACAGUGUCAAAAUUGACACAAAAAAAACACGGUCUCAAAAUCGAAUUUCUGUGUAAAAAGAGUGUUUUUUGUGUCAUUUACCCUUUGUAAUACAGCAGAGAUAUCAAACAAUUUGCAUGUUUAUUGCAACCAUCAAUUACUUUAAUGAUUUCAAACAAUCAAUGGCCUUCCUAAAAACCGAGAAAUCAAAUAUCUACAAUUGAUUUAUCAUCUUCUUCAUUCUCCCAUCUUUUUCUUGCAAACUAGAGUUGCCUGAGAAUUUUUGUAUCCACACCCUCUAAUUUCUUAAUUUCUGUCAUUUUUUGGAUGUAUGAUUCUAUACCCUCCAGAUUUUCUUUUGUACAAGAUAUUAAUCUCACUUGACACCAACCAUCCAAAUCAAUACAAUCUCCAAAAAGAGUAAUAAAAGCGCCACAAAAUUUUGCCAAUUUCUUCAUUUAGGAAGCCAUAAAAGUCGUGAUCAACAUUCACUAGUUGCUCGAUUGCUUUUGAUAUAAUUAAAGGAAGUCAAAGAAGGGCUUAUUUGAUAAUCGUACACACACUUUAAAGGUUGCUUUCAUCAUAACAAGAUUUGAGUUUUACAUACCAAAGAAAAAAUAACACCCACUAUAUAAUGUUACUUCUUGUAUAUCCUUCAAAAUAGAAAAUAAAUUAAAAGAUUAAAGCUCCUAAUAAUGCUCUUAUAGCUUUUUGGGUCUAUACAUGUACCUACAAACUAAGAUGAUGUUAAUUAUAUACAAGCAUAAAUGAACAUGUUAAUUCCUCCGUUCUUCCUUCCAUAAAGAACUAUAAUUUUACUUUAUGUGUAAAGUACAGGCAUAACCGAACAAUUGAACAUCGAAUCCAUGUAAUAUUUAAACUCUCGUGACAUUUUCACAUACCGUUGAACAAUAUUUGGUCAUCAACCUUGAACAACUUAGAAUUAGCAUGUAAUUUUGAGUCUAGUAAACUAUGGAACAACAAAGUAGUUCAACUGAGAAUUCACUGUUGUAGUUUGACACUUGUUGGUUCUGUAACCAAUUAAACAGCAAAAGAAAGAAGCGGUAGAUGCAUUUUUCACUACAUUUGUUUCUAAAAUCGAAGAGAAUCAGAUGGAAUUUUCGUUUGGCUUUUAGGCCGUGGAGGUGAUAACAAGAGGCGAUUUGUAACGUUCCCAUUUUCAUGACAAUUUUUUUUUCAUUUAAUUUAAAGUAAAACUUCCUAAUUAUAAAACCAUUUUAUGAAAACCAUUUGUUCCCAAUUACAAUUAUUAAAAAUGAGAGUAUUAUAAUGAAUGUGAAAUCCUCAAUGUUGCUGAUGAGUGUAUACAGUCUCACCUUCGUCUUCCCAUAGCCACCAAUGAUACGUGAAUCACUAAACAACUGGGUAAGCAUAAAGCUUAGCGAGUUUUCCCCAAAAUACCACAUACGAUAAACAUACAAGCUAGCAUGCCUAAUGGCCUACAACCUCCCGGUUGGAAUGUCCAGGUUGAAUCAGUCCUUAGACUGGAAUGUCAUCAUGCAACGGGUCCAAUUAGCCAUCGGGCUAGAAUACCCAGGUUUGUUGGCCUACCGCCUCAACCCAACCGCUCUUCCCGAGUCUCCGUGCCUACGUCUUACAGUCGGUCUGCACGAGUAUCUUGACCUACAACACAAAGCAAGUUCGCCUCAACCCGCUACUACCAUAUGUCGACAUAUAAACAAUCAGGAUCAAGUAGGCACAUAAUACAUGAAAACAGUAAUCAUACAACUCACUACUGCAUACUAGUCCUUUCACAACACACAGACCCGCUACCAACUAACCUGCAUGGAAUGUGUAACCAUAAGUACCCAGAGGUGAGAUAGCCACCCAAAUAGAUGAUCCUACUCUAGAGCCACAACCAAACGAGGAACAUGAAAGAAAUCCUAGAUCAAGAGUUCUCAGGCUAUCCUACAUGAUUACAUACAGUCCCUAGGGCACUCCACUAGAUGAUAACCAACAAGUACAGAUAGACACACAGAUCUAACAGAUCAAUACAUCAUAGCAACAUCCUAUAAACCAAGAUACAUAUCUAACAUAUCAUUACAACAUAGCAACAUCCUCUAUACCAGGAUACAGAUCUAACAGAUCAUUCCAACAUAGUAACAUCCUAAGUACCAACAAUCUAAGGAAUAUAGGACCGUAUAUACUCAGAGGUGAGAUAGUGUAACGCCCGCAAAUCUGGGCUAGUCAAAUUAGAGGCAAUAGGGGUCGAAAACGACUUUUCGACAAAAGAUUAUUUAGAAUAAAUAAUCUUAACCAAGUUGUAGAGUAUGUUACAAGGUUUUCGUACAUAUUAAGAACGCCGAAAACCGAGUUAUAACGAAGAAGUUAUGACCCGUUGAAGUUUCGCGACGGAACCGGCACGAUACCGGGAAACGUAAAUAGUGAAUUUAUGAUAGAGCGAGAUUUAGCCUUAGCGAUCUAAACGAAAGUCGUAGAAUAUGUUAAACUAAGAACAUCAAUAAAAAGAACGCCCAAAUCUGACUUCGUAUGAGGAAGUUAUGAUUUUUCUAAGAUUUAGCAUAGCAGUGCACAGCCGGAAAUCUGAAUUUUAGAUCGGUCGAUUUUUAGCCGACGGGAUCUAAAUGAAAGUUGUAGUACUCGUAAAUACCAACGCGUGGAUAUAAAGAACAUCGAUAAUAGAGCUCGUAUGCAAAAGUUAUGGAUGAAGCUUAGUCCCUACUUUUCGAGCGCGGCGAAUUCGAUACAGUUUCGUAAAUACGAGAUAGAAUGAGAAUUAGCCAACGAGGUCUAAAUGAGAGUUGAAGAUCUCAUUAAUAGGAACUCAACGGUAAAAAGACAGACAAAAAUGGAGCUCGUAUGCGAAAGUUAUGGACGAAGCUUAGUCCCUACUUUUCGAGCGCGGCGAAUUUGAUACAGUUUUGUAAAUCCGAGAUAGAAUGAGAAUUAGCCAACGAGGUCUAAAUGAAAGUUGAAGAUCUCAUUAAUAGGAACUCAACAGUAAAAAGACAGACAAAAACGGAGCUCGUAUGCAAAAGUUACGGACGAAGCUUGGAGACUACUUUACUAUACACUUCCUAUAAAUACAAGGGUGAACUCCUCAUAUUUUCUUCACACCAUAAGCCUUUCUUUCUCUCUCUAACUUCUCUCUAACCUCCCUAAACCCCUCCCAAGUCUAGGGAACCUCCCUAUCACGAGAAGAAAGCCCCGGAGCGCCCGACGGCUCCGAGAAGAAAAGCUUUCGGCUCGGAAACGCUGCUCCAGCGAAGCCCGGUUUUUAAUAAAAACCCGCUGUAAGUGAGCUACGCCUAUAGUAUAUUUAAUAUAGAUUUUAUUUAAUUAUAGUAACAUUGUUAGGACCUUAAAAUAAUUAUUUAGGCUAUUAUUAUGAGUUAUAUUGAGUGUUAUUUAACGCUUAUAUAAUAGUAAUAAUAGCUAGACUAUUAAAUUAGUCUCGUCAAGCGUUAGACUAAACUCUAGUGGUAAUGAUACUAGGUUUCGUCAAGGGAUAAUUGUUUUAAGAGUAACGAAGUGCUGUCCGAGUGCCGACUCACCACCUUUCAGGUGAGUGCAUAGUCCCUUUCAUCUUACACAUAGAUAUGAAGUAUUUUAUAUAAACUACGUGCUAUGUGUGCACAUUAUCUGAAUACUUGCUGUCUAUGCUGGUUGAACGUUUUAUACAUGUUUUAAAGGACUUAAACUGUAUACGUAUUUUAUAUAUACGAAAAUGUUGGGUAUGAGAUGGGUAGAUGAAUGAUGAGAGAUAGAAGAUGACGUGAGUAUACAUUGGCAGCUAUAGACUUAGUGCCUAUGGGACAAACACCGGUAGCUAUGGACUUAGUACCUUUUAGACGUUGGUAGCUAUGGAUUUAGUACCUGUUGGGAAUUGGUAGCUAUGGACUUAGUACCUAUUAGUUAGACGCUGGUAGCUAAGGAUUUAGUACCUGUAGGAAUUGGUAGCUAUGGACUUAGUACCUGUUGAACAUUGGUAGCUAUGGACUUAGUACCUAUUAGAUAAAGACUGGUAGCUAUGGAUUUAGUACCCGAUGAAUAGACUAUAGCAGCUAUGGAAUUAGUGCUUUAUGAACGAACAUUGGCAGCUAUGGAUUUAGUGCCAGUCCCAUAACCCUGGAAGUAAGGGACUUCGGAAUAAACGAAUGCAGGAUAGAUGACUCUUAGGUUAAAUCCUUAAAGAGUAAAGAAGAUAAUGGGGAUGGGUAAUUGGGUUGAUUGUUUGAUUGAACAUAAUAAUUAUAUUAUUGUGGGUUGAAAACCCUAUGUACUCACCAGGUUUCCCAACCUGACCCACUCAGUUUAUGUAUAUCACAGGUGACGAAGUGAAGUGACAUUACACUGAGAGAUUUAAAAGAGAUGUAGAUCACUAGUGUAAAUCAUUGUAAUUCUGUUUAUGCUUAUGUUUCGGUAUUAACGAUGACAUCCCAAACAUUUUAAAAUGAAAUAAAUACGUUUCUUCGAAAAUGUUUUAAUAACGUAUUUACCAUGUUUUUCUGGGAACAAAUUCCGCAACCUUUUUAUAAAAUGAAGUACUCUGAUUUUUAUAAAGCAUAAACAAAAUCGGUCUUUUCUGGCCGUGAUUUUGGGGAUGUCACAGUUGGUAUCAGAGCAUUAGUUUAAGCGAACUAGGAAUAUGGAUUUAUUUCUAGACUUAAACUUAGAAUGCUAAGCGAUGAUUGUGAGGUGUGAGCACUAGCUUAUUUUAGGAAUUGUGCCUAAAAUGCUUUUAUGUGCUAAAUGCUUUGUGCAUGAUAUGUUGUUAAUUGUUCGGAUCUAUGGUCUGUUGCCGACCGGAUCUGGAAACCUUAUGUGUUUAGGAUUCUAAACGUACGACUACGGUAUUAGAACUAGCAUGUAAAUGUUUCGGAGUGAUAAGGAUGAUUUAAACGUCAAGUAAAGGUCUAAAUUCACCUUAUUCGGUGUAUAGAUCGAGAUGGUAAGGACCCGUAGCGGAAACGUAAACGCAAAUGGGAACAGGAACCAACCCCCAGUGGUUCAGCAAAUACCUGUUGUAGAAGAAGUUGCGCCUGAGCCAGUCACCAUGGCUGGAGUUCAAGCCAUGAUUCGGGCUAUGUUGGCUGAACAAAGGGAAGAAAUGAGACGGAUGUUGAAUAGGGACGAACCUACUAUGCCCAUUGAGCAACCCGAACUGAUUCCCGAGCAAUCUGAGGAAGGGAACUACAGCCGCCAAGUGAGUCAAGUUGGGACUCAAGGUGAGCAAAGGGAUGGCCCAGAAGGGAGAAACAACAAGGAUGGGCGGAUGUACAAGAACUUCUUGGGUGCGAAACCACCAAGCCUCUCAGGAAGCCCAAAGCCGGUUGAGGUUAUGGAUUGGAUCUCUGAGAUGGAGAUGGUGUUUGAGAGCUGCAGCUGUAAUGAGAAACAGAAGACUGUCUUUGCAGUAAGACAGCUGAAAACUGGAGUCUUGAGCUGGUGGAAGCUAUUGGCAGAUACGAUGCCACGAGGAGAAGCCUUAAGGAUGUCGUGGGAAGAGUUUUUGGAACAGUUGAAAAUGCAGUACUGCUCGGAGGUAGAUCUGAUAGACCUAAACAACGAGUUUCAGAACCUGAAGAAAGGGAAGAUGAGUGUUGAUGAGUAUGCCACCGCAUUUACCGAGAGGAUGAAGCUAUUUCCCUACUUGGUGCCUACUGAACUCUCCAAGAUUGAUAGGUUUGCUAACGGACUGCCCACUGACUUUGGUCCAAUGGUCAAAAUGGCAACUACCUUAAAAGCAGCUAUUAGGGCAGCUAAGAACGUAGAGGCCCAGAUAAGAGAAAAGGGUCUAGAAAAAGAUAAGGCAGGAGAGAAGCGAAAGUUUGAGGGAUCUUCGAGGUCGAACAAGGAAAGCAAAUUCUCAAAACUCGGAGGAGCAGAUGGAGGUGAAACAAGAUGGUGUGAUAAAUGCAAGAAGAAGCAUGGUGGGAAGUGCAACGAAGAAGUGACUUGUUACAAGUGUGGGAGGACGGGUCACUAUUCCAAAGACUGCACACAUAAUGACAAAGUAUGCUACGGAUGUGGAGGCAAGGGGCACAUGUCCAGAGACUGCCCAAGGAAAAAUAAAGCAGCAAGACCAGAAACGCCACCAAGGCCAAGGGCAUUUCACAUGAUCCUCGACGAAGCAGAGAACCAUGCGAGGAAUCAAGAAUGAGGACUUCUUACCCGAAGAUCGGAUUAUGCAGUAGCCAUAGUUUCGUAUGAUGUAGCCUAGUAGAGGCAUAGUCUAGGGUGAACUUGAACACCUAUGUAAUCGUUUCAAGAAUUAAUAUAAAACCUUCGUUUUGUUAUCUGAUGUGUCGAAUGAUUGUGUGAUUUGCUGCAUGGUGACUUGGGAAACUGCGAGACAAUACUUGGGACGAGUAUGAGUAGGUGUGAAUGGUAGUAGAGGCCUAUACUACCGGAAGCACAGGACUCACACUUGGAUCAGGGAAAGUCACAAGGUUACCAAGAAGCUAGUAAUUGAUUUCGUUUUAUUCAAGUGUGUUGUUACCAUCGUUUCGGUAAUGACUAAGAAGAUUGUUGAUAUUCCGACCCUAGUGGUCAUAUCGAAUCGAGUCCGACUACGAUGAGUAUGUUGUGUGGUUCAGAGAACCAAGUUUGAUGUAGCGUCCGACUUAAACCAAACGGUUGAAAUCAAAGCGAUCAAUAGAAGUAUCGCACUCGUUGUUAAAGAAGUUGGUGGCUAGAAAUGCCUAAUGUUAAAGUGUGAUUAUAUCACAUUAGAACAUGAAGGAAGGCAUAGUCUGUUUUAGAAUUUAACUCUAAGAGACCUAAGUCUAAGUGUUGCAACAUACGAUGAUAGGUCAUUAGAAUAUGACACAUCGAUCUAUAGUAGUAAUAAAAGAACUUAUCUCAAGUCCGUAUCCAGCAAGGAUCGAGAUUGUGACUUGAAGGUCAUAAUUUGGAGUCUAACCUGAGGUAGAGAGCAGGUGCACGAUCGAGUACUCUUACAGUCAAUGAGUUUAAGAGAUAGAAUCGAAGGAAUGUAGAAGUUAUAAUUAUUACCUAGGAUGAAGAGAUGACGUAUGGAGUCAUUAUACGACCCUGUUUCGUUGAUGAUUCCGGGACGUAAUCAUCCUAAGGGGGAGAUAAUUGUAACGCCCGCAAAUCUGGGCUAGUCAAAUUAGAGGCAAUAGGGGUCGAAAACGACUUUUCGACAAAAGAUUAUUUAGAAUAAAUAAUCUUAACCAAGUUGUAGAGUAUGUUACAAGGUUUUCGUACAUAUAAAGAACGCCGAAAACCGAGUUAUAACGAAGAAGUUAUGACCCGUUGAAGUUUCGCGACGGAACCGGCACGAUACCGGGAAGCGUAAAUAGUGAAUUUACGAUAGAGCGAGAUUUAGCCUUAGCGAUCUAAACGAAAGUCGUAGAAUAUGUUAAACUAAGAACAUCGAUAAAAAGAACGCCCAAAUCUGACUUCGUAUGAGGAAGUUAUGAUUUUUCUAAGAUUUAGCAUAGCAGUGCACAGCCCGAAAUCUGAAUUUUAGAUCGGUCGAUUUUUAGCCGACGGGAUCUAAAUGAAAGUUGUAGUACUCGUAAAUACCAACGCGUGGAUAUAAAGAACGUCGAUAAUAGAGCUCGUAUGCAAAAGUUAUGGACGAAGCUUAGUCCCUACUUUUCGAGCGCGGCGAAUUCGAUACAGUUUUGUAAAUACGAGAUAGAAUGAGAAUUAGCCAACGAGGUCUAAAUGAGAGUUGAAGAUCUCAUUAAUAGGAACUCAACGGUAAAAAGACAGACAAAAAUGGAGCUCGUAUGCGAAAGUUAUGGACGAAGCUUAGUCCCUACUUUUCGAGCGCGGCGAAUUCGAUACAGUUUUGUAAAUCCGAGAUAGAAUGAGAAUUAGCCAACGAGGUCUAAAUGAAAGUUGAAGAUCUCAUUAAUAGGAACUCAACGGUAAAAAGACAGACAAAAACGGAGCUCGUAUGCAAAAGUUACGGACGAAGCUUAGAGACUACUUUACUAUAAAACUCCUAUAAAUACAAGGGUGAACUCCUCAUAUUUUCUUCACACCAUAAGCCUCUCUUUCUCUCUCUAACUUCUCUCUAGCCUCCCUAAACCCCUCCCAAGUCUACGGAACCUCCCUAGCACGAGAAGAAAGCCCCGGAGCGCCCGACGGCUCCGAGAAGAAAAGCUUUCGGCUUGGAAACGCUGCUCCAGCGAAGCCCGGUUUUUAAUAAAAACUCGCUGUAAGUGAGCUACGCCUAUACUAUAUUUAAUAUAGAUUUUAUUUAAUUAUAGUAACAUUAUUAGGACCUUAAAAUAAUUAUUUGGGCUAUUAUUAUGAGUUAUAUUGAGUGUUAUUUAACGCUUAUAUAAUAGUAAUAAUAGCUAGACUAUUAAUUAGUCGUGGUUAACGUUAAAAACUAAACCCUAGUGGUAUUGAUACUAGGUUUUGUCGAGGAAAAUUGUUUUGAGAUAACGAAGUGCUGUCUGAGUUCGGAAUCACCACCUAAUCAGGUGAGUGCAUGGUCUCUUUCAUCUUACACAUAGAUAUGAAGUAUUUUAAUAUAAAUUACGUGUUAUGUGUGCAUAUUGUCUGAAUACUUGCUGUCUAUGCUGGUGAAAGAUUUUUAUACAUGUUUUAAAUGAUGUAAACUGUAUAAAGUAUUUUAUAUCUACAAGAUAUGUUGGGUAAAACAUGGGUAGAUGAAUGAUGAUGGAUAAAAGCUGAAAUAGAGGAACAUUAGUAGUACGGACCUAGUGCCCUAUAGGUAUACAUUGGCAGCAGUGGACCUAGUACCCUAUAGAUGAGCACUGGCAGCUGCGCCACAACCUGUAGAUGAUUUAGAUCUACGGUAAACAUCCUAGCAGCUGCGCUCUAAGGAUAGUAUCGACAGUUGCGCCUAAUAGGGAGCCUUAUGACCAUGACAGUAGUGUUUAAAGGUCAAUACCGGCAGAAGCGCCUCAUAGAAAAUGUCCUAAUUCUGGCAGCUGAGCCUAAGUGACAAUAUUAGCAGCUGCGCUUGACCAAUGUGUCAUUGGCAACAAUGGACUUCAUGUUGUUUCCUUAGGAUGAUCCUUAGGAAUGAAUGAAUGAGAAAUAGUUGAUUCUUAGGGUAGAUCCUUAAGAAUAAAGAAGAUAAUGGGGAUGGGUAAUUGGGUUGAUUGUUUGAUUGUUUAAACAUAAUAAUUAUAUUAUUGUGGGUUGAAAACCCUAUGUACUCACCAGGUUUCCCAACCUGACCCACUUAGUUUAUUUAUAUCACAGGUGUUGAUAUGAAGUGACAUUACACUGAGAGAUUUAAAGAGAUGUAGAUCACUAGUGUAAAUAAUUGUAAGUUCUGUUUAUGCUUAUGUUUCUGUAUUAACGAUGACAUCCCAAACGUUUUAAAAUGAAAUAAAUACGUUUCUUCGAAAAUGUUUUAAUAACGUAUUUACCAUGUUUUUCUGGGAACAAAUUCCGCAACAUUUUUAUAAAAUGAAGUACUCUGAUUUUUAUAAAGCAUAAACAACAUCAGUCUUUUUUGGCCGUGAUUUUGGGGAUGUCACAGAUAGACACCCAGACAGGUGAUCCUACUCUAGAGCCAUAACCAAACAAGGAACAUGCAAGAAAGCCUAGAUCAAGAGUCCUCAGUCUAUCCUACAUGACUAUAUACAAUACCUAAGGAAUCCUUCUACUAAAAGAUAACCAAAACUAGUGGGUUGGUGUUGGUGUCUUCGACCCAUGGGUACAAAGAGGCAAAACUCACCUAAAAUGAAGAACCCAAAAAGAUGAUACGUGCUUCCCUUUCUGCGAUGUGUACUACCGCGAAUCCGCUAAUCACCAAAAGCCAAGUAAAACCUUAAUCAACAGUCCAAAAAUCUCAAGUAAAACCUAAAGUCAAUCUUAGUUAAAAGUCAUUGGUCAACGAAGUUAACAAAGUCUACUUCCAUGGUAGCAGUGUAAGCCCAACAUAGGCGACCUGAACAUAUUUCUCCAUUAAGUACUUUAUCACUUAAUACAUUUUGUCUAGAGCUCAGAUCUAGACUCAAAACAUCGACUUAAGUAAUAAAGUUUCCACCUUUAUGACUUUCCAUGGCUAGAAAAGGUUCAAAAGCCAAACCCUAACUUAUUAAUCCAUUAAGACAUCAUAACUCUUAAAUGGAAGGGGUAGAAGGACCAAGAUCACAAUUUUAUGGUUCCCAAUAGCUUCAUAAUGGAUAAAGUUUCUAACUCUAUCCAUUAGAAUGGUCUCAACAAACAAGAUCUAUUCUUUAAGUUUCAAAGGGACCAAAAGUGCAUCUUUUUCCAACUUAAUCCAUUAACUCCCAGGCUCCAACCUUAAGAUCUGAAUAUGAUGUUUAGAUGGAUAAAGUUUCCAACUUUAUCCAUAACAAGGUCACAAACUUUCAAGAUCCAAACUUUAUGCACUUAAAGUAACCAAAAGCUCAUAACACCCAAAACUAGCUAGAUCUAACAAUUUCUUCAUCAAGAUUCAAACUUUAUACCUCUAGAAGAAAGAUCAAGGUGAACAAGGUCUGGAUCUACAAGCUCCAAUGCCACCAAGACUUCCCCAAUGAACUCCUUCUUUUCCAAGAUACACCAAGAACACUUCAAAGCACUUAAAAACACAUUCUUUUUGCUCACAAGGCUCAAUCUAGGGUUAUGGUUUCAAGGAAGCAUGUUGAAGGGGUGGAGGCUGAGAAUGGAAUGAGUUCGGGGAAGUUAAGGAGCUUAAAUAGAUCUCAAACCAUGAAAAUAGGGUUUGGAUUAUGAUAGCCUACGCCCAACGUACCAGGGAUGUCUAGUACGCCCAACGUACCCCCUUACGCCCAACAUACGUGGCUAACCCAAAAUCGUCAUAACUUCAAAUGUUGUAACUUCUUCUUUCCAACUCCGUUUUAGACCGUUAUUUAUAUCCACGGAAAGGUGUUGAAGAGUCCCACAAUAUUAUCUAGAUAUAUUGGACUAAAAAUUUCUCGAACAAAAAUCCAUAUUUCAUGCAAGAAGUCGGGAUCUGAUUUUUCCCUUUUUGCCCUUCAACCCAAAACACAAUUCAAAGGCUAGAUCUCUUAACCAUCAUUACCUCCUUCCAUAAGGUUUAAUCUUUACCUGCUUAAGGCCCAAAGUCUUUACACAAUCGACUUCCGGCCCACGUCCCUGAAAUAAAUGACGGGAAACAAGAUGUUACAUGGUUGUUCUAUGUAGGCGACUGAUAAGUAGGGAAAUAUGGAAAUUGUAGGUUUUUUUGCAUUGUUGUCCCGAUCCUUCAGUUUUAAAAGGGGGGCCGAAUCAACUAAAUAUCACAGACCAAGUCAAUCAUUUGGACCAAGUCCAUUGGUUUUGAAGCAAUAUCAAAUAUGCUAAAUUGCUAAAUUGAUCUUUUUGAACUCGGUCCUCAUUUGGACCCGAUUAAAAACCGAUAUCAAACACACCCUAAACUAAUCAUUAUAAAUGGCUUUUUAAGAAAAUAAUCAUUUUUUUUAUUUUUUCAAAAAUAACCAUUUAUUUUCGUAUGCACCAUUCCAAAUAUGAUCUUCAAAUUUCAGAUUCUUUUCUGGUUUUUUUCCAGUAUUUUUUUUUCUAAAAGUAAGCUUUCUACUUAUGUUCGAAAUGUUAAUUUCAAAGUGUUUAAUGUUAUCAUUUUUCAAUCAAUGUAUACUUGUGUGCUCUAAUAUCGUAUAUAUCAAUGUAGUAAAAAUUGGUCUAGGAAGUCGAUUAAUCAGUCCCUAGGCUCUAAGCGGCCUAGACCCGUCUACGAUUAGUGUUAGGAGGUCUUCUUAUAUGGUCUUGGUCAAUAUUAUUCCUAGGCGGAGCUACACGGCCUAGGCAGUCUUAAGCAUUCCUGGUGGCCGAGCCUUUCAAAUUUCGAAAUUUCAAAAUAUCAAAUAUUAAACCAAAAUUUUCAAAUUUUCAAAUAAUGUACCAAAUUUUUUAAUGUUUGGUACAUUAUUUUGAAAUUUUAAAUACUUAUUGUCUUAGUAUGAAUUAAUAUUUGCAUAAUUAAUGGUAGCAAAACCCGAUGUCGUAGGUUCAAAUCCUACAGAGCGUGAUUUGGAUCUUCUUCGAUAGAAUUUGGUUGAAACACUAACUGGAAUGACAAUCUGAAUUUGACCUCCUGGAUAUUAAAGAAAGAAGGAUGUCAAUAAAAAAGAUGUUAAUUAAUCUAAUCAAAGGUCCGACUGAUCCAAUCCACCGAAUAACUAA
RNAcentral lists this long non-coding RNA (17378 nucleotides) under Lactuca sativa (garden lettuce). RNAcentral's name for it is "long non-coding RNA (LSAT_LNC006431)". Lineage: Eukaryota; Viridiplantae; Streptophyta; Magnoliopsida; Asterales; Asteraceae. The record is from RNAcentral.